RNAcentral lists this long non-coding RNA (1314 nucleotides) under Dromaius novaehollandiae (emu). RNAcentral describes it as "lncRNA (ENSDNVG00000001959.1)". Lineage: Eukaryota; Metazoa; Chordata; Aves; Casuariiformes; Dromaiidae. The record is from RNAcentral.
CUUCAUCAGUGGUGCUUGCAGCAAGCAGCAUAAGCAUUUGAAGUACUGCGAUUAUCUGAAUGGUAUGUACAGAAAACUGCCAUGCUCUGAGUAUAUGAUUCUGGUGUUGCAGAAUAUACUUUAUUUAAACUUCUGUAAUGUGAUGGACUCUUGCAGAAGGAUGACAUGGACAAAUUGGAAAAUGUAAGGUACAACGUGUCUCCUUUCUGAAGCUGAUAAAGAAGGGGAGRAGAAUUUUACAUAAGUUUUCUUUCAUCCUGGAACUAAAAAUCCUGCCAGGAAGUGAUUGCCAGCAAUUGACAGAAGUUGGAGCUGCUGAGCCCUUAGCCCUCAGGUUUCAUGCGUUGUUCCCUCAGCACGCCUGCUCUGACCCGAGGCAGAGGUGUGGAGGCUCUCGCAGGAACACCGGAGCUGAACGAACUUUGACAGAUCGUCUCUUCUGAGGAGUCGGGCCCUGCGCAGCCGCCUCUCCGUGCCGUGCUCGAGGCCAUCCAUCACCGGGAAGGAGACUUGCCCGUGUGUGAUGACGCUAAUUUUCUGACUGAAAAAGCAGACGUGCGGUGUGCUUUCCCAUAAGCAGUGUCAUGGUCUUYGUACCACGUGCAGCCAGCUGCUGAGUAAGGGUUUGAGCCAAAGCCCACUGAGUCAGAGGGAACCUCUCCUCGGACAUCAGGAGCCUCCAGAGCCCUUCUGCAGGGGCUCAAUGUCUUUAAGCAAUAACUUUAUACAGUGAAGGAUGCUGAUUUGGCCAGUAACCUUCAGAAGAGGCUUCAGAAGGUUAUACCCAGCUUCUACUUCUGAAUAGUCUAGCUUUGAUUUUCCUCACAGUUCCACUGAAGAAACCCGUUAGUAUCUUGUUUGCCCUGUUUUGUAUCAUACUAUGAUUUUUUGAUUUUGUUGCCAACACCUUUCUCAUAGUUUUUGGAGACAAACCAAUAGCUUUAAAGAUUAAUAGCCUGCCAAAAUGCCUGCAGGAUCUCCACAUCUGAUAAAAUAACUACCCAUAAUUUACAAAUCUUUUAAAUUUGGAAGCACAUGUGGACCACGGCAAAAGAACUUCUGUUUUAACAGAGUAGAGAACUCUUUUCAGUGUUUUUUGUAAGAAUAAUCUCUAUACUUUCAGGACAUUGUUCAGUCUUUCUUACUAGCUCUGAUGAAAGUGAAACCUUUGCAUUAGCUCUGUAGUAAGACACAACUCAGACAAUUGUUUGUUCCUUAAUUUCUGGUGAAGAAAGUUGUAGGUUUUAUGUAUGCUCAACAGAAGGUGUGGCUCUUAGUGUUAUAUAAAGACUGAAAACAAGUAAUCUUUGAAAA